This 438-nucleotide long non-coding RNA is filed under the name Musa acuminata (dwarf banana). RNAcentral's name for it is "long non-coding RNA (MACU_LNC010143)". Lineage: Eukaryota; Viridiplantae; Streptophyta; Magnoliopsida; Zingiberales; Musaceae. The record is from RNAcentral.
UGUAGGAGAGAUCAAUCAGCUAACAAAUUCCAUGAACAUCAUAAUUUUAAUUGAGGCAAUGAGAUAUUAUUCACCACUUCAUCCUAAGGUGAAAAUAUCUUUUUUAACACUCAAAUCAUAAGGGACUAUAAUGAAUAUAAUCUAGCCCUAAUCUUUCCUUAAGUCUUUACUAGGUUCCUUGUCCUAGUUGGAACAAGAGACCACAUCAAGAUCUUUUCUAAUUUGAUAAGCUUGAACCACAUAAUUCAAGGUUGGUCAUUUAUAUUCCUUUCUAAUUUGAUAAGCUUGAACCACAUAAUUCAAGGUUGGUCAUUUACAUGCUUUCACCCAGUGUUAUUCUAGUCAUGGAUAAAUCAUCCGGAUUUAGAUCCAUGAGGAAUGACUAUCACUAAAUAAAGACACUAUACUUAUGGCUAUGGUUGGAUUCUUUAACUUAGC